This 296-nucleotide long non-coding RNA is filed under the name Elaeis guineensis (African oil palm). RNAcentral's name for it is "long non-coding RNA (EGUI_LNC027268)". The record is from RNAcentral. Lineage: Eukaryota; Viridiplantae; Streptophyta; Magnoliopsida; Arecales; Arecaceae.
AGCCCAUACAAGAAGGUGAGAGACCUUUACAUAGGGAUGAGAUAUACGCACACGUAUUAGGGACUUGACCAGAUUUAUCUCGUGGAAGAGGAGCUGGUUAUAAGUCAACUUUGAUUGGGACUUCAUAUCAUAUGAAGAGUGGAAAUCUACGAAGAAAAAAUGUAUAGACAUGCAAGCAAAAUUACAAAAGAUGAAAGUGAUUGAGGGACAGCUAAUAGAAAUGGCAAGUUUGAAAGAGCGGUUACAACAUAUAAAAGAAAUGAUGGCUCACUUCCUAUUGUAUGGAAGGAUUAACC